CCUAAGGUAGCGAAAUUCCUUGUCAGGUAAGUUCUGACCCGCACGAAAGGCGUAACGAUUUGGGCGCUGUCUCAACAAGAAACUCGGUGAAAUCAUAGUACCUGUGAAGAUGCAGGUUACCCGCGAUCAGACGGAAAGACCCCAUGGAGCUUCACUGCAACUUAAUAUUGAUAUUGGGUGUGUGAUGUACAGGAUAGGUGGGAGACAAAGAAGCGAGUACGCUAGUAUUCGUGGAGUCAACCUUGGGAUACCACCCCUCGCACAUUUAGUAUCUAACUAGUUUCCAUAAGCUGGGAAUAGAACAGUGUUAGGUGGGCAGUUUGACUGGGGCGGUCGCCUCCCAAAGAGUAACGGAGGCGCCCAAAGGUUCCCUCAGAAUGGUUGGAAAUCAUUCAUAGAGUGUAAAGGCAGAAGGGAGCUUGACUGCGAGACGGACAGGUCGAGCAGGAACGAAAGUUGGGCUUAGUGAACCGGCUGUGCUGAAUGGAAAGGCAGUCGAUCAACGGACAAAAGCUACCCUGGGGAUAACAGGCUGAUCUCCCCCAAGAGUUCACAUCGACGGGGAGGUUUGGCACCUCGAUGUCGGCUCGUCGCAUCCUGGGGCUGGAGAAGGUCCCAAGGGUUGGGCUGUUCGCCCAUUAAAGCGUCACGCGAGCUGGGUUCAGAACGUCGUGAGACAGUUCGGUCCCUAUCUGUCGUGGGCGUAGGAAAUUUGAAGGGAGUUGUCCCUAGUACGAGAGGACCAGGAUGAACGCACCGCUGGUGCACCAGUUGGCUUGCCAAGGCCACAGCUGGGUAGCUACGUGCGGCCGGGAUAAACGCUGAAAGCAUCUAAGCGUGAAGCCCCCCCUGAGAUGAGAUUUCCCAUUAGAAAUAAGUAAGACCCCUUAGAGAUGAUGAGGUUGAUAGGUCAGAGAUGUAAGCACUGCGAGGUGUUGAGUUGACUGAUACUAAUAGGUCGAGGACUUAACCU
This 973-nucleotide ribosomal RNA is filed under the name human gut metagenome. RNAcentral describes it as "bacterial LSU rRNA". It matches the Rfam family "Bacterial large subunit ribosomal RNA", at positions 1950 to 2925 of the family's 2925-position model. The record is from RNAcentral.